GACGAACGCUGGCGGCGUGCUUAACACAUGCAAGUCGAACGAUGAAGAAGAGAAACGCGAACUUCGGUUCAAAUUUCACUUCGGAUUAGUGGCAGACGGGUGAGUAACGCGUGAGCAACCUACCUCUUACAAAGGGAUAGCCUCGGGAAACCGUGAUUAAUACCAUAUGACACAUUCAUAAGGCAUCUUAAGAAUGUUAAAGCUACGGCGGUAAGAGAUGGGCUCGCGUCCCAUUAGCUAGUUGGUGAGGUAACGGCCCACCAAGGCGACGAUGGGUAACCGGGCUGAGAGGGUGAACGGUCACAUUGGAACUGGGACACGGUCCAAACUCCUACGGGAGGCAGCAGUGGGGAAUAUUGCACAAUGGAGGGAACUCUGAUGCAGCGACGCCGCGUGAGCGAUGAAGGAAUUCGUUUCGUAAAGCUCUGUUCCAUGGGAAGAAAAGGACUGUACCAUAGGAGAAAGCCCCGGCUAAAUACGUG
This 482-nucleotide ribosomal RNA is filed under the name uncultured bacterium. RNAcentral's name for it is "partial 16S ribosomal RNA". It matches the Rfam family "Bacterial small subunit ribosomal RNA", at positions 28 to 507 of the family's 1533-position model. The record is from RNAcentral.